AGAACUUGAAACCGUGUGCUUACAAGUAGUCAGAGCCCGUUAAUGGGUGAUGGCGUGCCUUUUGUAGAAUGAACCGGCGAGUUACGAUCUGAUGCAAGGUUAAGCAGAAAAUGUGGAGCCGUAGCGAAAGCGAGUCUGAAUAGGGCGAAUGAGUAUUUGGUCGUAGACCCGAAACCAGGUGAUCUACCCUUGGUCAGGUUGAAGUUCAGGUAACACUGAAUGGAGGACCGAACCGACUUACGUUGAAAAGUGAGCGGAUGAACUGAGGGUAGCGGAGAAAUUCCAAUCGAACUUGGAGAUAGCUGGUUCUCUCCGAAAUAGCUUUAGGGCUAGCCUCAAGUGAUGAUUAUUGGAGGUAGAGCACUGUUUGGACGAGGGGCCCCUCUCGGGUUACCGAAUUCAGACAAACUCCGAAUGCCAAAUAAUUUAACUUGGGAGUCAGAAUGUGGGUGAUAAGGUCCAUAUUCGAAAGGGAAACAGCCCAGACCACCAGCUAAGGUCCCAAAAUAUAUGUUAAGUGGAAAAGGAUGUGGCGUUGCCCAGACAACUAGGAUGUUGGCUUAGAAGCAGCCAUCAUUUAAAGAGUGCGUAAUAGCUCACUAGUCGAGUGACACUGCGCCGAAAAUGUACCGGGGCUAAACAUAUUACCGAAGCUGUGGAUUGUCCUUUGGACAAUGGUAGGAGAGCGUUCUAAGGGCGUUGAAGCAUGAUCGCAAGGACAUGUGGAGCGCUUAGAAGUGAGAAUGCCGGUGUGAGUAGCGAAAGACGGGUGAGAAUCCCGUCCACCGAUUGACUAAGGUUUCCAGAGGAAGGCUCGUCCGCUCUGGGUUAGUCGGGUCCUAAGCUGAGGCCGACAGGCGUAGGCGAUGGAUAACAGGUUGAUAUUCCUGUACCACCAUUAUUCGUUUUAAGCGAUGGGGGGACGCAGUAGGAUAGGCGAAGCGUGCUGUUGGAGUGCACGUCCAAGCAGUGAGAUUGAGUGUUAGGCAAAUCCGGCACUCUUAAGAUUGAGCUGUGAUGGGGAGAGGAACUUGUUCCUCGAGUCGUUGAUUUCACACUGCCGAGAAAAGCCUCUAGCUAGAAUAACGGUGCCCGUACCGCAAACCGACACAGGUAGUCAAGAUGAGAAUUCUAAGGUGAGCGAGCGAACUCUCGUUAAGGAACUCGGCAAAAUGACCCCGUAACUUCGGGAGAAGGGGUGCUCUUUGAGGUUCACGCU
RNAcentral lists this ribosomal RNA (1219 nucleotides) under Staphylococcus pseudintermedius. RNAcentral's name for it is "partial 23S ribosomal RNA". It matches the Rfam family "Bacterial large subunit ribosomal RNA", at positions 545 to 1768 of the family's 2925-position model. Lineage: Bacteria; Bacillati; Bacillota; Bacilli; Caryophanales; Staphylococcaceae. The record is from RNAcentral.